AAAUUGAAGAGUUUGAUCAUGGCUCAGAUUGAACGCUGGCGGCAGGCCUAACACAUGCAAGUCGAGCGGUAGCACAGAGAGCUUGCUCUCGGGUGACGAGCGGCGGACGGGUGAGUAAUGUCUGGGAAACUGCCUGAUGGAGGGGGAUAACUACUGGAAACGGUAGCUAAUACCGCAUAACGUCGCAAGACCAAAGUGGGGGACCUUCGGGCCUCAUGCCAUCAGAUGUGCCCAGAUGGGAUUAGCUAGUAGGUGGGGUAACGG
This 264-nucleotide ribosomal RNA is filed under the name Listeria monocytogenes. Its description in RNAcentral is "partial 16S ribosomal RNA". It matches the Rfam family "Bacterial small subunit ribosomal RNA", at positions 1 to 263 of the family's 1533-position model. Lineage: Bacteria; Bacillati; Bacillota; Bacilli; Caryophanales; Listeriaceae. RNAcentral also lists the same sequence under 2 other names. The record is from RNAcentral.